UGGGGAAUAUUGCACAAUGGGCGCAAGCCUGAUGCAGCCAUGCCGCGUGUGUGAAGAAGGCCUUCGGGUUGUAAAGCACUUUCAGCGAGGAGGAAGGUGGUGAGCUUAAUACGCUCAUCAAUUGACGUUACUCGCAGAAGAAGCACCGGCUAACUCCGUGCCAGCAGCCGCGGUAAUACGGAGGGUGCAAGCGUUAAUCGGAAUUACUGGGCGUAAAGCGCACGCAGGCGGUUUGUUAAGUCAGAUGUGAAAUCCCCGGGCUCAACCUGGGAACUGCAUUUGAAACUGGCAAGCUAGAGUCUCGUAGAGGGGGGUAGAAUUCCAGGUGUAGCGGUGAAAUGCGUAGAGAUCUGGAGGAAUACCGGUGGCGAAGGCGGCCCCCCUGGACGAAGACUGACGCUCAGGUGCGAAAAGCGUGGGGCAGCAAACAGGAUUAGAUACCCUGGUAGUCCACGCUGUAAACGAUGUCGAUUUUGGAGGUUGUGCCCCUUGAGGCGUGGCUUCCGGAGCUAACGCGUUAAAUCGACCGCCU
Molecule: ribosomal RNA, 532 nt
Filed under: uncultured bacterium
Lineage: Bacteria
Description: partial 16S ribosomal RNA
Rfam family: Bacterial small subunit ribosomal RNA
Source: RNAcentral